This 496-nucleotide ribosomal RNA is filed under the name Andinosaura aurea. RNAcentral describes it as "partial 16S ribosomal RNA". It matches the Rfam family "Bacterial large subunit ribosomal RNA", at positions 1832 to 2594 of the family's 2925-position model. The record is from RNAcentral. Lineage: Eukaryota; Metazoa; Chordata; Lepidosauria; Squamata; Gymnophthalmidae.
CUUUAGCACCAAGUAUUAAAGGUGACGCCUGCCCAGUGAUUAUUUAAACGGCCGCGGGAUCCUCCACCGUGCAAAGGUAGCAUAAUCACUUGUCCCCUAAAUAGUGACUAGUAUGAACGGCCUAAUGAAGAUUAAACUGUCUCUUACAACUAAUCUAUGAAACUAAUCUAUCAGUACAAAAACUGAAAUAUUUACAUAAGACGAAAAGACCCUGUGGAACUUCAAGCUAUACCUCAACCAUAAUGACUACACUGCUUUUAGUUGGGGCAACUUUGGAAUAAAACAAAACUUCCAACAUCUUAAUGGUUUACACACCUAUCUUUUUAUACACUUUGACCCAGUCACACUGAUUAAAGAACCAAGCUACCCCAGGGAUAACAGCGCCAUCCCCUCCAAGAGCCCAAAUCGACGAGUGGGGUUUACGACCUCGAUGUUGGAUCAGGGCCCCCAAACAGUGCAACCGCUGUUAAAGGUUUGUUUGUUCAACAAUUAAAGC